GGCUGAGUUCAUCCCAGGAAACCCUAAGGAUUCCAAAGGAUACAAGAGGAACCGAGGAUUCUCACACCUCCUGGUAAGAGACGACUCUGGCAAUAGAAUGGAGAUAACAGGCAUGAGAACAGUCUUCCUAAAGGAAUGACCAUCCAGACACUGCCACACUUGGGGAUCCAUCCCAUAAGCAACCACCAAAC
This is a long non-coding RNA of Mus musculus (house mouse), 191 nucleotides long. RefSeq annotates it as predicted gene, 35671. The transcript has 3 exons. Lineage: Eukaryota; Metazoa; Chordata; Mammalia; Rodentia; Muridae. The record is from RefSeq and is a predicted model, not a curated record.